GACGAACGCUGGCGGCGUGCUUAACACAUGCAGGUCGAACGGAAAGGCCUGCUUUCCCUUGUGGAUUGCGGGUACUCGAGUGGCGAACGGGUGAGUAACACGUGAGUGAUCUGCCCCCAACUUGGGUAUAAGCCUGGGAAACUGGGUCUAAUUCCCGAUAGGACUGCAGGGUGGUGCCUGUGGUGGAAAACGAUUUUCUAGUGGUUGGGGAUGAGCUCGCGGCCUAUCAGCUUGUUGGUGGGGUAAUGGCCUACCAAGGCGGCGACGGGUAGCCGGCCUGAGAGGGUGGACGGCCACACUGGGACUGAGAUACGGCCCAGACUCCUACGGGAGGCAGCAGUGGGGAAUAUUGCACAAUGGGCGGAAACCUGAUGCAGCGACGCCGCGUGGGGGAUGACGGCCUUCGGGUUGUAAACUCCUUUCGACCGCGAGGAAGCCACCUGGUUGGAAGGGUGGUGACGGUAGUGGUAGAAGAAGCACCGGCUAACUACGUG
RNAcentral lists this ribosomal RNA (494 nucleotides) under uncultured bacterium. Its description in RNAcentral is "partial 16S ribosomal RNA". It matches the Rfam family "Bacterial small subunit ribosomal RNA", at positions 28 to 507 of the family's 1533-position model. The record is from RNAcentral.